CGGGAUAACAACCUGGAAACAGAUGCUAAUACCGGAUAACAACAGAUGAUGCCUAUCAACUGUUUAAAAGAUGGUUCUGCUAUCACUCUUGGAUGGACCUGCGGUGCAUUAGCUAGUUGGUAGGGUAACGGCCUACCAAGGCGAUGAUGCAUAGCCGAGUUGAGAGACUGAUCGGCCACAUUGGGACUGAGACACGGCCCAAACUCCUACGGGAGGCAGCAGUU
RNAcentral lists this ribosomal RNA (224 nucleotides) under uncultured Lactobacillus sp. Its description in RNAcentral is "partial 16S ribosomal RNA". It matches the Rfam family "Bacterial small subunit ribosomal RNA", at positions 139 to 355 of the family's 1533-position model. The record is from RNAcentral. Lineage: Bacteria; Bacillati; Bacillota; Bacilli; Lactobacillales; Lactobacillaceae.